GAUGAACGCUGGCGGCGUGCUUAACACAUGCAAGUCGAACGGUGAAGGCGGAGCUUGCUCUGCUGGAUCAGUGGCGAACGGGUGAGUAACACGUGAGCAAUCUGCCCCUGACUCUGGGAUAAGCGCUGGAAACGGCGUCUAAUACUGGAUACGAGCUGCGAAGGCAUCUUCAGCAGCUGGAAAGAAUUUCGGUCAGGGAUGAGCUCGCGGCCUAUCAGCUUGUUGGUGAGGUAAUGGCUCACCAAGGCGUCGACGGGUAGCCGGCCUGAGAGGGUGACCGGCCCCACUGGGACUGAGACACGGCCCAGACUCCUACGGGGGGCAGCAGUGGGGAAUAUUGCACAAUGGGCGAAAGCCUGAUGCAGCAACGCCGCGUGAGGGACGACGGCCUUCGGGUUGUAAACCUCUUUUAGCAGGGAAGAAGCGAAAGUGACGGUACCUGCAGAAAAAGCGCCGGCUAACUACGUG
Molecule: ribosomal RNA, 468 nt
Filed under: uncultured bacterium
Lineage: Bacteria
Description: partial 16S ribosomal RNA
Rfam family: Bacterial small subunit ribosomal RNA
Source: RNAcentral